Molecule: ribosomal RNA, 415 nt
Filed under: uncultured microorganism
Description: bacterial SSU rRNA
Rfam family: Archaeal small subunit ribosomal RNA
Source: RNAcentral
GCGCACCAGGCGCGAAACCUCCGCAAUGCGGGAAACCGCGACGGGGGGACCCCGAGUGCCGUGGCAACGCCACGGCUUUUCCGGAGUGUAAAAAGCUCCGGGAAUAAGGGCUGGGCAAGGCCGGUGGCAGCCGCCGCGGUAAUACCGGCGGCCCGAGUGGUGGCCGCUAUUAUUGGGCCUAAAGCGUCCGUAGCCGGGCCCGUAAGUCCCUGGCGAAAUCCCACGGCUCAACCGUGGGGCUUGCUGGGGAUACUGCGGGUCUUGGGACCGGGGAGAGGCGGGGGGUACCCCUGGGGUAGGGGUGAAAUCCUAUAACCCCAGGGGGACCGCCAGUGGCGAAGGCGCCCCGCUGGAACGGGUCCGACGGUGAGGGACGAAGGCCAGGGGAGCAAACCGGAUUAGAUACCCGUGUAGU